This 711-nucleotide ribosomal RNA is filed under the name Burkholderia sp. 2Sm108. RNAcentral's name for it is "partial 16S ribosomal RNA". The record is from RNAcentral. Lineage: Bacteria; Pseudomonadati; Pseudomonadota; Betaproteobacteria; Burkholderiales; Burkholderiaceae.
CCAACUUCACGCGUUAGUACGUUACCAAGUCAAUKAAGACCCGACAACUAGUUGACAUCGUUUAGGGCGUGGACUACCAGGGUAUCUAAUCCUGUUUGCUCCCCACGCUUUCGUGCAUGAGCGUCAGUAUUGGCCCAGGGGGCUGCCUUCGCCAUCGGUAUUCCUCCACAUCUCUACGSAUUUCACUGCUACACGUGGAAUUCUACCCCCCUCUGCCAUACUCUAGCCCGCCAGUCACAAAUGCAGUUCCCAGGUUAAGCCCGGGGAUUUCACAUCUGUCUUAGCGGACCGCCUGCGCACGCUUUACGCCCAGUAAUUCCGAUUAACGCUUGCACCCUACGUAUUACCGCGGCUGCUGGCACGUAGUUAGCCGGUGCUUAUUCUUCCGGUACCSUCAUCCGCCACGGGUAUUAACCACGACGUUUUCUUUCCGGACAAAAGUGCUUUACAACCCGAAGGCCUUCUUCACACACGCGGCAUUGCUGGAUCAGGCUUGCGCCCAUUGUCCAAAAUUCCCCACUGCUGCCUCCCGUAGGAGGUCUGGGCCGUGUCUCAGUCCCAGUGUGGCUGGUCGUCCUCUCAGACCAGCUACAGAUCGUCGCCUUGGUAGGCCUUUACCCCACCAACUAGCUAAUCUGCCAUCGGCGCCCCUGUAGCGAGAGGUCUAAGAUCCCCCCUUUCCUCCGUAGAGCGUAUSGGUAUUAAUCCGCU